This 292-nucleotide unclassified non-coding RNA is filed under the name Hevea brasiliensis (rubber tree). Lineage: Eukaryota; Viridiplantae; Streptophyta; Magnoliopsida; Malpighiales; Euphorbiaceae. The record is from RNAcentral.
AGGUCACUCCUUGUGUGCAGUCCAAAUGCUCCACGGACGACCAGGUCAAGGUCGCCUCAGGUGUCUCGGCUGUCUGCUCUAGUGCUGGUGUUCCUAUCUCUGUUCCCACUCCAGGAGCCUCAUCCGCUGCUAGCUCUGCUGCUUCUUCAGCUGCUAGCGCUAUCUCCUCUGCUGUGUCAUCCGCAGCUUCGUCCGCAGCUUCAUCUGCCGCAUCAAAGGUCUCUUCCGCUGCUUCCGUCGCCUCCUCCGUUUCCUCUAGCAUCGCCUCCGCAACUUCCCACAGCAACGGAAC